UCGGCUCCUCCUCGGCGCUGCUGCCCAGCCGCGCUCGGUCUGGCCGUUCCCUCCUCUGUCCUCUUGCACUUUCCUCGUCCCCCGUUUGGUUUUUUUUUUUUUUUUUUUUUUUUAAUUUAUUUACUUAUUAAUGUGCGGUGUGCGGAAUUUCGUCUCUUUAAGCUCCAUGCGGUUUUGCCCUGGUAAACGAGACGGGUCCAUCGCCGGCUCGCACGCUCCCCUUACAUGCUCAAUCCACACAGGAAGAAGUUUUAACCAUCUUCCCAUGGCAUCUGACUUUUUUGAAGAGGAGGACUUUUCAGCCACUUGAUUGAAAGGAAAUAAGAAGUUUGCUUCAAGACCCUUACGUCGUUCGUCAGUUGUGUUAACAAACAUUGGGCUUGAGGAUACAUUUGCUGCUCCUCUGCAUUUUUGCUGAAGGUGCUGCAGUGUGGUGGGAGCUCCUGUAGCUGGAAUCUGGCCCCCAGUGUGGGUGUUAGAGGAAGGACCUUGCUGUCUCCUAGCUCCUGUGGGCCUUAGGCUUUGUGAAUGUCUCUUGGGAAGAGGACAGCUCUGUAGACCCUAAGUUUCAAAAGUAAUUUUAAAGGUUGCACCCAAGGGAGAAGCAGGGAGAUCCACAGUGGGGAAAAUGAACCCAGCAGUCCAUCCUGUCCUUUACCUGCCUGACUAUGGGAAGAGACCUAGCACAAAGCCAGAAUGCAGCUGGGCUUGCAGUCUUUUUAACCAUAUUAAGUCCUGUUCAGAGUUAAUGAUGAGCUCAGUGAGAUUGUCUCAGCAAUGCUGAAGAAGGGAGGGGCAGAAUUGGAAGGCAGGAGCUGUUUCAAAGCAGGAUUCUUCAUCUUUCAGUAAUGCCCAAACAUGAAGACUUUAUAAACUUCAUUAGAUCCUGCCAUCAAUGACUGAGCCUCCCUGAAAUCUUCUUAUCAGUUACUGCCAAGAUGAGAAGGAUAACGGGAAGGAGGAGUGCUUAAGUGGCUUUAAUGACAGUUAAUUUCAUCUAUUUAUCAAAUGACAGGUUGUUUUUUCCUCAAAACUUGAUUGUCAUGACAAGAUGCUUUUGGAAGUCAUCUUUCUAAAAUAAAGCUGACAAUUUUUAGGCUACAAA
Molecule: long non-coding RNA, 1105 nt
Organism: Hirundo rustica (Barn swallow)
Lineage: Eukaryota; Metazoa; Chordata; Aves; Passeriformes; Hirundinidae
Exons: 8
Source: RefSeq, a predicted model, not a curated record